UUUCAGCUCCAUCGCCUCCUCCAACAAACCAUCCCUUGCACAAGCAGAUAUCAAUGAAUUGUAAGUCACAAUGCUCGGGGAGAAAUCAUUAACCUCCAUCUCUCUCAAAACCUUCAUGGCCUCCUCAGGUCUCCUGACUUUCCAUAAACAUCCAGCAGCGCGUUGUAGGUGACAUUAUCCGGUACAUACCCCGCCAUUUUCAUCUCCUCAAACAUGGCUUUAGCUUCCUCAUACAAAGACCCCCUCCGGCAACAACUUAUCACGGUGUUAUACGUGUAAGCAUCAGGAACAACACCCGAGCUCUUCAUACCAUCAAAAACCGCCAUGAUUUUAUGCCAAGGCAUCCCCAUUUUACCAUAAACAUUCAAAAUCACAUUAUAAGUUAUCAAAGUAGGCUUGCAACCCUCCUCCUCCAUCUUCUUGAACACCAUUACAGCUUCCCUAUAUCUCCCAUUUCGCACGAAAACAGUUAUCAACGAAGUGUAAGCAUACACAUCAAUCCCAUAUCCAUCUUUCUGCAAAUUAUGCAGCAAAGAGGCUGCAGCAGAAAUCCGACCAUCCUUCCCCAACAUACUAAUUACCACCGCCACAACAGACCCAUUAAUCAGUUUGUGAGAAUCCGUACGGCUCUUUAUCCAUUCGAAAACACUCAGAGCCAAGUCGCAUUUUUUAUGAUACCCUAAACCCUUAAUUAUGCCCAAUAAAUCAGAGAAAACAGCAUCUACAUAAUCCCCUGAAAGUUGAGAUUCUUCAAUUCUGUACCUAAGCAAAGCAGAUAGCUCUUGGUCGAGCUUGUCGGCAUCGAAUUGAGGAUGAAGGAGGGAGAGGAGAGUGCGCUCACCUAGAGAAGAGAGGCGGCGGUUGAGCCAGGGCUUGCCCUUGUGGGGUCACGGUGUUUGCCGAUACGACGCCGUGGUUGCUGGAGGGAGGAGGUGGUGGCGGGGUUUUGUUGGGGUGAGGAAAUCGUGGAGGAGAGGGGAUAAAUUGGGCGGGGGGAGAGGGAGGUCCGGCGGCGGAANCAAACUUAGGCGUGAUGCCACUCUCCUUCAUCAAGUCUAGAUCUCGUUUGCCUUGUCGAGCAUCUGCCUCCGGCCAUAUAUUGAAACCAUUGCAUCAGAGUAGGCACGUCGGGGAGAAGCCUUUCCUUCUUAGCUCAAGGAAGGCUUGCUCUGUUUCAUCUACGAGAUCACUUUUGCUGUAGACCAGAACAAGGGUUUUCAGUAACACUGGAUGUGGUUCAAUUUUAGCAUCGUAUAUAUCUCUAGCAAGAUCGUGCAUCUUCUCGAUCUGCUUCCCAUUAGCGUACGCAUGAAGCAAGGAGCUAUAGGUCAUCUGAUUAGGCUUACACCUCCCAUUCAUCAUCUCAGCAAAUACCUUCUCUGACUGCUCCCACAGUCCCCCUCGUGCCAACGCUGCCAAAACAGCGUUGUAAGUGGAUAAAUCAGGAGUGACCCCCGCCUUCAACAUGAGCUUAUAUAUAGCCAUUGCCUGGUCGAAAGCUCCACACCUACUGUAAGCACUGAUCAACGUGUUAAAUGUGUCCCUCUCAGCCACAAAGCCCGAUCUCUUCAUCUCCUUGAACACCCCUGACACCUCCGUGUUCAUCCCGUUCUGCCCAAACACAGCCAAAAGAGUGUUCCAAGUAACAACAUCCGCCCUGCAUCCAGAAGCCUUCAUAUCAUCAAAAAUCUUCAUCAUCUCCGUAAACUUCCCACGAUUCCCAAACAUCUUGAUCAGAGCAUUGAAAGUGCAGAUAUUCGAACUGCAACCCACACCUUGCAUCUCCUCAAACACCUUCAUCGCAGAAUCAUCCUUCCCAGCCUUCUCAAAGCCUGACAACAACGUAGUAUAAGUGAACACAUCCGGCUUUAUCCCCUUCUCCAUCAUCUUAUCUUUCAGCUCCAUCGCCUCCUCCAACAAACCAUCCCUUGCACAAGCAGAUAUCAAUGAAUUGUAAGUCACAAUGCUCGGGGAGAAAUCAUUAACCUCCAUCUCUCUCAAAACCUUCAUGGCCUCCUCAGGUCUCCUUGACUUUCCAUAAACAUCCAGCAGCGCGUUGUAGGUGACAUUAUCCGGUACAUACCCCGCCAUUUUCAUCUCCUCAAACAUGGCUUUAGCUUCCUCAUACAAAGACCCCCUCCGGCAACAACUUAUCACGGUGUUAUACGUGUAAGCAUCAGGAACAACACCCGAG
Molecule: long non-coding RNA, 2194 nt
Filed under: Salvia miltiorrhiza (redroot sage)
Lineage: Eukaryota; Viridiplantae; Streptophyta; Magnoliopsida; Lamiales; Lamiaceae
Description: long non-coding RNA (SMIL_LNC008165)
Source: RNAcentral